Molecule: ribosomal RNA, 151 nt
Filed under: Pseudomonas fluorescens
Lineage: Bacteria; Pseudomonadati; Pseudomonadota; Gammaproteobacteria; Pseudomonadales; Pseudomonadaceae
Description: partial 23S ribosomal RNA
Rfam family: Bacterial large subunit ribosomal RNA
Source: RNAcentral
GGUCAAGUGAAGAAGCGCAUACGGUGGAUGCCUUGGCAGUCAGAGGCGAUGAAAGACGUGGUAGCCUGCGAAAAGCUUCGGGGAGUCGGCAAACAGACUUUGAUCCGGAGAUGUCUGAAUGGGGGAACCCAGCCAUCAUAAGAUGGUUAUC